This is an RNA transcript of Mercurialis annua (annual mercury), 2626 nucleotides long. It is a transcript of the gene named pentatricopeptide repeat-containing protein At1g80880, mitochondrial, with no coding region annotated. The record is from RefSeq and is a predicted model, not a curated record. NCBI's taxonomy places the organism in Eukaryota, Viridiplantae, Streptophyta, Magnoliopsida, Malpighiales, Euphorbiaceae. The transcript is spliced from 4 exons.
CAUUUAUAAGUUGCAAAAUCUGAACUUAAUUUCUGCUAAGCUCUAAAUGUCACUCCUCACCAUCGCAUUACGGCUGAAUAGAAGCCAUUCCAAAUUUGUUCACCCACUUCUCCACUCGACAGUCUCCUUUUUCUCUGCGGCAUUUCAUCGAACAGUUUCAGUACCCACUCGAAACCCUUUUCAUUUCUCUACCUCUCAAUCAUUUUCAAACCAAUCCAACAUUUACCCAUUUAAUCUAAUCCAGCACCGAAUCCGUAGCCAUGAUUUUCUCAACCAAGGGAUUCUUGAAACACUCAAACGAGCUGCCUCUUUCCCUUCAGAAGCAGAGGCUAUGGCGUGUAUUGAUGAGUCGGGUGUUAAAGCUGAUGAAAAUUUGGUCUAUGCAGUGAUUUGGGAACUGAGGCACGAGUGGACGUUAGCGUUUUUGGGUUUUAAAUGGGGAGAAAAAUCGAGGUGCAUUGAUGAAAAAGCUUGUGAAUUGAUGGUUUGGAUUUUGGGUAAUCAUGAAAAGUUUAACAUUUCUUGGACUGUUAUUCGGGACAUGCAUCAGUCUUGUCUGAAUAUUAGACAGGCCAUGCUAAUUAUGAUUGACAGAUAUGCAGCAGCAAAUAAACCAGGGAAGGCCAUUCAAGCAUUCAAUUUUAUGGAGAAGUUCAAAUUGGCCCCUGAUGAAGAAGCAUUCUACUCUCUACUGAAUACUCUUUGUAGUCAUGGCUACAUUGAGGAGGCUGAGGAGUUUAUGGUUGUUAGCAAGAAGCUUUUCCCAUUAGAAAUUGAGGGAUUUAACAUUAUUCUACAUGGAUGGUGUAAUAUAUGUGUGGAUUUACUUGAAGCAAAGCGAAUUUGGAGGGAAAUGUCAAGAAGCUGUAUUACACCUAAUGCAACUUCAUAUACUUGCAUGAUUUCCUGCUUCUCCAAGGCUGGGAAUCUUUUUGAUUCACUAAGGCUUUACGACGAAAUGAAGAAACGAGGUUUGGUCCCAGGCGUCGAGAUUUGUAAUUCUUUGAUUUACGUACUAACUCGUGAGAAUUGCCUCGAGGAAGCUCUCAAAUUUCUUGAUAAAAUGAAAGAAGUUGGUUUGCAGCCUGAUUCGACCACUUUCAAUUCAAUGAUAAAACCCUUAUGUGAAAAAAAGAAGCUUGUGGAGGCAAGAAAUGUUUUGGCUGCCAUGAUAGAGGAGAAUAUCAGCCCCACAAUGGAGACCUACCAUGCGUUUCUUGAAGUUGAAGGUACUGGUUUUGAAGCAACUCUGGAAAUCCUUAACCAAAUGCAAAUCGCCGGUGUAGCCCCCAAAGAGGAUACAUUUCUCUUGAUUAUUAAUAAGUUCUUCAAGCUAGAGCAAGCUGACAAUGCACUAAAAAAUUUGUUAGAAAUGAAGCAUUACGAAGUGCAGCCUGAUAUGACACAUUAUACAGUUACGGUAGAAGGACUAGUUAGAUGUGGAUUGUUAACCAAGGCCCGCGAAUGCUAUGCUGAUAUGAGAUCGGAUGGAUUUUCAGAUGAUCCAAAGCUUCAAAGGAUCUUGCAAGAACCAAUACAAGAUCGGAAUAGCAAAGAGAAAGAUCGGGGAGGAGAAGUUUGGAGAGAUCGACGUGUAAAUUACAAGAAAGGAAGAAUUGUCCAAGGAAAAAGUAGAAAAACUACAAGUACAUAGACAGAAAAACUGCAGUUUAAUCUAAACUCCAAUUGAAAAGUGAAAACACAAAAUCUGACGGAUAUUUAUGUUAGAAUGUCAAACUCAGCAUUUUAUAGGUGGCACCAGAGCAACUAGUGGGUGAUAUGAAAUAAGAAGAAAAUGUUUUGGUCAAGAAAUUAAAGUUGCAGAGCACGAACUGGCAUAAUCCGCAUCUGUUUGCUACCGGACCUAUGUAGGGGCAAUCUUGUUAAUUGGAUUGAGUGUAAGUAACAGUAAGUGCAUGCUUACUAAGAGCUUCUUCAACAAGUGUGUGGAACGUGCGGCACCUCUUUCUCGACAACCGGCACUCACGGAAACUGUGGCAUUGGUGUUGGUGCUAUUUUAUUUGGUUGUGGAACAUCAGCAACUACUAUCAAUUGCUCUUCUACUUUGUGGUGGCGGCACUGGUGAUGGUAAUGGUAAUCAGCUUUAAAGCAGGGGUGGUGGCGGUGGGUGAGGCUGGAUCAUGGACGAUGGAGGAGAACAGAGUUCGAGUUAUGUUGUUGAACAAGUAUAAGAAAUGCAAUAACUUUGUAGUAAAAAUACGCUGGACGGGGACAAUGCACGUCCAGACAUUUUCACCUGGCAGAGGUUAAUCACUUUCUAUAUUCUAAACACGUACCUUUAUCAUUUUUAUCUAUAUUCCGUUAAGUUGAGUGGUUUUCGGGCAACAUUUGCCUGGUUCCUUUCGACAUUAUUGUUUGUGCAGGUACUCGUUUUAGGGCAUGUGCAGAAAUAGAGUUAACUUUUAUCAGUUUUUCACCAUGAAAGUUCACAGGGAGUAAGAUGCAAUUCUUACUCGUGAGGAAGGAGAUACCAAUGACCCAACCCAGAAAACACCUACAAGAUUCAACCGACGAUCCAAUUCCGGAUUCACCUGAAGAAAACAUAAAUGUACAGAAUUUGUACAAAUCCUUCUCUGAGUUCACUACUACAAUACUACUAUUUUAC